AUGGCGAUCGCGAUCUCGCAGGAGGCCUUCGAUGACAUGGUCCGGGAGAACAUGGAGGACCUCGGAAUGGACCCCGACGAGGCCCUCGCCGACGCCGUCGACGCCCUCACCCUCCAGGGCGCCAACCUCUCCGGGAUCAUCAGGCGCGUACCUGGGGACGCCGCGGCGGAGGAGGUGAAUCCGGUGAUGCGGUUGCUGGACGAGCUGAAGGCCUCCUCCAGCGGCCGGUCGGGGGAGGAUCUUGACAGGCUGGUCUCUUUGCUCGACGAGUUGCUCGAGCUGUGCUCCGGCGAGGGGGCGGAGAAUGCGGCCGUGGCGGCGCGGAACGGUGGCGUGGAGGCGCUCGUCUCCCUGUGCGCUUCGGCUGGGGUUACGCAGGAGGGGCUGCUUGCUUCGGGCUUGAAGGCGCUGAGCUCCCUGAUCCGUGAUGUUGGGAGCACUGAAAAGUUCAGGCAAAGCCAAGGGCCCAAAAUUGUCAUGGAUAUCUUGAAAGGAGCCCUGGAAAAUUCAGAUAUACUGGAUGGUGGUUUUAGUGUCGUGGCAAUGGCAUCUGCUGGCAAUGAAGUUGUGAAAGACGCCUUUAUGGACUUGAAGGUUGACGAACUCAUUCUGGAGGUUAUGAGGAACAAAUCAAAUAGUAAAGUGCAAAGCGUGUAUGAUGCCAUACGUGUUCUGUUGACACCUGACGAUAACCGAGUGGUGGCUUCUCAAGUAUAUGGAUAUUCACGGAAAUUUGCAGAAAUUGGCGUCGCAGAAGUUCUUGUCGUUGCACUCCGCGAGCAAGUUGCUCCAUCCAGCUUACCAUCAGCUUGUGCUGCUUUGAAGGCAAUUGCUGUUAAUGAAGAAAUAUGCCGUUCCAUAUCUGAAAAUGGUGGGAUUGAUGUGCUUCUUAAGUGCAUCGAUGAGGCUGGUGUACAAAAGAACAAGGUUAUAGCAAAAUCUUGCUGCUCUUUGCUGUCUAAGCUGGCUGGAAGUGAUGCAAACAAGGCCAAUAUCAUUCAGCAAGAUGGUUUUGACAAGUUCUUGAAGUUAGCGUCCAGAUUUUCUGAAGACCCGUCAGUAAUACAGGAGGUAAUGUCUAUAGUGCAAGUCCUUACAUUGCGGUCACCAGAACAUGCAGCCCGUGCAGUCGCGCUAGGCUACGGCAAUCUGGCCAUACAGACAAUGCAAAAGUUCCCCUCCUCCGCGCUGACUCAGAAGCAAGCAUGCCUUAUGAUUCGCAAUCUCGUGGUCAGAAACCCUGAAAACAGGACGAUCUUGCUCAACGAAGGUGUGGAGAAGCUGAUCAGGAAAGCCAAGGCAAUACAUGGAAGCUGCAAAGCUGCCGCCACAGAUGCCCUGAGAGACCUGGGCUUGGACAACUACAAUGCGUAG
This 1374-nucleotide ribosomal RNA is filed under the name Triticum aestivum (bread wheat). Its description in RNAcentral is "partial small subunit ribosomal RNA". Lineage: Eukaryota; Viridiplantae; Streptophyta; Magnoliopsida; Poales; Poaceae. The record is from RNAcentral.